RNAcentral lists this ribosomal RNA (253 nucleotides) under uncultured bacterium. RNAcentral's name for it is "partial 16S ribosomal RNA". It matches the Rfam family "Bacterial small subunit ribosomal RNA", at positions 524 to 776 of the family's 1533-position model. The record is from RNAcentral.
UACGUAGGGGGCAAGCGUUGUCCGGAAUUAUUGGGCGUAAAGAGCGUGUAGGCGGCCAGAUAAGUCCGCUGUGAAAUCUCGAGGCUCAACUUCGAGCUGUCGGUGGAAACUAUCUGGCUAGAGUCCGGAAGAGGAGAAUGGAAUUCCUGGUGUAGCGGUGAAAUGCGCAGAUAUCAGGAGGAACACCGAUGGCGAAGGCAGGUCUCUGGGCCGAAACUGACGCUGAGGAGCGAAAGCGUGGGGAGCAAACAGG